AAGUCUGAAGAGGAGUCAAAUGCUUCUUUUCUUAAGGACAAGCUGUGAUGGGGAGGGAAAUAAUAGUACCGAAGUUCCUGAUGUCACACUGCCGAGAAAAGCUUCUAGUGAGAAAACAGCGGCCCGUACCGCAAACCGACACAGGUAGUCGAGGAGAGAAUCCUAAGGUGAGCGAGAGAACUCUCGUUAAGGAACUCGGCAAAAUGACCCCGUAACUUCGGGAGAAGGGGUGCUGAUCAUACGAUCAGCCGCAGUGAAUAGGCCCAAGCGACUGUUUAUCAAAAACACAGGUCUCUGCAAAAUCGUAAGAUGAAGUAUAGGGGCUGACGCCUGCCCGGUGCUGGAAGGUUAAGAGGAGUGCUUAGCGCAAGCGAAGGUACGAAUUGAAGCCCCAGUAAACGGCGGCCGUAACUAUAACGGUCCUAAGGUAGCGAAAUUCCUUGUCGGGUAAGUUCCGACCCGCACGAAAGGCGUAACGAUUUGGGCACUGUCUCAACGAGAGACUCGGUGAAAUUUUAGUACCUGUGAAGAUGCAGGUUACCCGCGACAGGACGGAAAGACCCCAUGGAGCUUUACUGUAGUUUGAUAUUGAGUGUCUGUACCGCAUGUACAGGAUAGGUAGGAGCCGUAGAAAUCGGAACGCUAGUUUCGAUGGAGGCGCUGGUGGGAUACUACCCCUGCG
RNAcentral lists this ribosomal RNA (682 nucleotides) under Enterococcus faecium. RNAcentral's name for it is "partial 23S ribosomal RNA". It matches the Rfam family "Bacterial large subunit ribosomal RNA", at positions 1521 to 2210 of the family's 2925-position model. The record is from RNAcentral. Lineage: Bacteria; Bacillati; Bacillota; Bacilli; Lactobacillales; Enterococcaceae.